RNAcentral lists this ribosomal RNA (760 nucleotides) under Allotamlana fucoidanivorans. Its description in RNAcentral is "Tamlana fucoidanivorans Bacterial large subunit ribosomal RNA". It matches the Rfam family "Bacterial large subunit ribosomal RNA", at positions 554 to 1316 of the family's 2925-position model. Lineage: Bacteria; Pseudomonadati; Bacteroidota; Flavobacteriia; Flavobacteriales; Flavobacteriaceae. The record is from Rfam by way of RNAcentral.
AACCAUUUGCUUACAAUCAUUCAGAGCCCUAUGUAGCAAUACAGGGUGAUGGACUGCCUUUUGCAUAAUGAGCCUGCGAGUUGUGGUGUCUGGCAAGGUUAAGCAAACGCGAAGCCGUAGCGAAAGCGAGUCUGAAUAGGGCGCUUAGUCAGAUGCUGCAGACCCGAAACGAAGUGAUCUAUCCAUGAGCAAGUUGAAGCUAGUGUAAGAACUAGUGGAGGACUGAACCCAUAGGCGUUGAAAAGCCCCGGGAUGACUUGUGGAUAGGGGUGAAAGGCCAAUCAAACUUCGUGAUAGCUGGUUCUCUCCGAAAUAUAUUUAGGUAUAGCGUUGUGUCGUAAUAUAAGGGGGUAGAGCACUGAAUGGGCUAGGGCAUACACCAAUGUACCAAACCCUAUCAAACUCCGAAUACCUUAUAUGUAAUCACAGCAGUCAGGCGGCGAGUGAUAAAAUCCGUCGUCAAGAGGGAAACAACCCAGACUACCAGCUAAGGUCCCUAAAUCUUACUUAAGUGGAAAACGAUGUGAAGUUACUUAAACAACCAGGAGGUUGGCUUAGAAGCAGCCAUCCUUUAAAGAAAGCGUAAUAGCUCACUGGUCUAGUGAUUUUGCGCGGAAAAUAUAACGGGGCUAAAGUAAGUACCGAAGCUGUAGACUUAGUUUACUAAGUGGUAGGAGAGCGUUCUAUUUGCGUCGAAGGUAUACCGGUAAGGAGUGCUGGAGCGAAUAGAAGUGAGCAUGCAGGCAUGAGUAGCGAUAAU